Molecule: unclassified non-coding RNA, 1663 nt
Filed under: Leishmania donovani
Lineage: Eukaryota; Euglenozoa; Kinetoplastea; Trypanosomatida; Trypanosomatidae
Description: gene:LdHU3.30.3970(CDS-product:Zinc-finger_domain _containing_protein_putative)
Source: RNAcentral
ACCCCACCGAGGCAAAUUAUAUAGGUAUAUAAGGAAAGAAGAUAGUGGACAGCGGGAAACAGAUCACAGCGGAGCUUCUCGAAAGUUACAUACAUAUCGUCGACAGUGCCUCUCCUACCCGUCUUAUCUCCCUUUCUUGAGUUAGCGUAUGCUGAGGUCAUACGCAGUUCUUGACCUGCUAGCGAACGACGGCAGCAGAGGCACGGUAUAGUUUGUGUUCGUGUGCUCUGCUGCCCUCCCUCCCCCUCCCCGCCUUACCUCUUUGUUAUAGCUGUAGCUAGUUAGUGCUUUCUUUCUCUGCUUGUGUUACGUGUAGAACUCUUUCCUCUUCCUUUUUCGAACUUGCUCGCGCUGCUUUCAUCGAGAGUUUGGUAGCGAACUCGUUUCCUCCCCCUCCCCCCCCACCGUCUCGCCCUCGUUCGCACGACAUCUAGGCAUAGCUGAGUUUUGCGUCACCUAUCGCAGCGCCUUUCCUACUGCGUUCACGCUGCGCGUAGCCGCCGCACUGUGUCUCUUUCCUUUUAUUUUUGCCAGCAACCUCGGUGAGGCACACGCAAUAAAACUGAGCAGUCAAUGAAGAGGACGUUCCCGCUGCUGUGGACCUUCUCAGACAACCGGGGCUACUACGGGCCCCCGGUGUACAUGCCGCUGGAGUACGCCAGCCGCAUCACGAACCAGAAGCAGCUCGUCUUCACGCACCCUAAGGACCCCAAAUACACAUGGAACACCGGCAUCGACGAAUUGUCUAGUCUCCAUCCCGGCAUCCUCGGACCGGGGCGUAAGACGCCGCAGCUGAACUACACGAGCCGCGGUGGCAUCAUCUGUGAAAUUCCGCCAGUUCCGGUGUACCGGUCGCGUAUUUGGUGCAUGGGGCACGGCCACUUCAUUCUUCAGCACCCGCGCAUCUUCAUUAAGUGCCCGCGCAACAAAGUGGUCUGCUGCAAGUGGUGCCGUCUCAAGUUUAUCAACAUGUCGACCGACGAGGACAAUGACGACGACUGGUUCGAGGAGGAGCACAAGAUCUCGACGACGCCAGAGUCUGAGGAGGACCUGCGGCAGCCGAUUCGCGACUUGGGUGGUGUGCUGCGCAACAGCCCGUUUCAGGACGGCAAGGAGCCGGACCCGCAUGUGUACCGCUCCGUUUUUGAUCCAGAGCGGUACCGCUGGAAGCACCCAGGAAAGGCUAACUACGAGGUGCAUCCAGCGUACGCCAAGAAGGACAGCGCCCACGAGGACUGCGGCCAUCAUUAGCCAACGCGCGGUCCUCUGGAGCAAAGAAGCCGCGACAAACAGCGUCGCACGGGGUGGGGGAGGCACAAGGCGUUCACGUGACGUUUUCCACGGAUUUCCUCGUUUCUCGUUGCGCGGUGCAUACAUGUGGUCACUGUGCGCGGCAUGAGCUUCGUCCCUUUAACUCGUCCUGCUCCGUCACACCGCUCCACCUGCCAACAACGGUGGCGUACCGUUCCUAGUCGUACAAGAAAUGCUCAGCGUGCAUGCCCCACCCCUUUUUUCUUCACUCUUGUAUGAUGGCGCUCUCGUCUGCUUCGACCCUCGCUGGCGAGCGCUCCAGCUGCACAUAUAUGUGCAGAUUUGUGACUCCUGUGUCACGCGCUUGCUUGCGUUCUUUUUGUUGGUUUGCUUUUCUUUCGCUUAGCUACAC